GACGAACGCUGGCGGCGCGCCUAACACAUGCAAGUCGAACGGAGUCAAGAGGAGCUUGCUUUUCUUGACUUAGUGGCGAACGGGUGAGUAACGCGUGAGUAACCUGCCCUGGAGUGGGGGACAACAGUUGGAAACGACUGCUAAUACCGCAUAAGCCCACGGAUCUGCAUGGAUCUGCGGAAAAAGGAUUUAUUCGCUCUAGGAUGGACUCACGUCCAAUUAGCUAGUUGGUGAGGUAACGGCCCACCAAGGCGACGAUUGGUAGCCGGACUGAGAGGUUGAACGGCCACAUUGGGACUGAGACACGGCCCAGACUCCUACGGGAGGCAGCAGUGGGGGAUAUUGCACAAUGGGGGAAACCCUGAUGCAGCGACGCCGCGUGGAGGAAGAAGGUUUUCGGAUUGUAAACUCCUGUCGUUAGGGACGAUAAUGACGGUACCUAACAAGAAAGCACCAGCUAACUACGUG
RNAcentral lists this ribosomal RNA (468 nucleotides) under uncultured bacterium. Its description in RNAcentral is "partial 16S ribosomal RNA". It matches the Rfam family "Bacterial small subunit ribosomal RNA", at positions 28 to 507 of the family's 1533-position model. The record is from RNAcentral.